This 253-nucleotide ribosomal RNA is filed under the name uncultured bacterium. RNAcentral's name for it is "partial 16S ribosomal RNA". It matches the Rfam family "Bacterial small subunit ribosomal RNA", at positions 524 to 776 of the family's 1533-position model. The record is from RNAcentral.
UACGUAGGGGGCAAGCGUUAUCCGGAUUUACUGGGUGUAAAGGGAGCGUAGACGGUAUGGCAAGUCUGAAGUGAAAGCCCAGGGCUUAACCCUGGGACUGCUUUGGAAACUGUUAGACUAGAGUGCUGGAGAGGUAAGUGGAAUUCCUAGUGUAGCGGUGAAAUGCGUAGAUAUUAGGAGGAACACCAGUGGCGAAGGCGGCUUACUGGACAGUAACUGACGUUGAGGCUCGAAAGCGUGGGGAUCAAACAGG